Molecule: ribosomal RNA, 92 nt
Filed under: Cellulomonas sp. KH9
Lineage: Bacteria; Bacillati; Actinomycetota; Actinomycetes; Micrococcales; Cellulomonadaceae
Description: partial 23S rRNA. Bacterial LSU
Source: RNAcentral
AGCUAGACCACUGGGUAGAUAGGCCGGAUGUGGAAGGCAGGACUAACGACUGCCGCAGCUGACCGGUACUAAUAAGCCGACAACUUGACUAA